Molecule: ribosomal RNA, 524 nt
Filed under: uncultured bacterium
Lineage: Bacteria
Description: partial 16S ribosomal RNA
Rfam family: Bacterial small subunit ribosomal RNA
Source: RNAcentral
GACGAACGCUGGCGGCGUGCCUAAUACAUGCAAGUCGAACGAAGCUGUUUUAACUGGUGCUUGCACCGACUUAAACAACUGAGUGGCGAACGGGUGAGUAACACGUGGGUAACCUGCCCCAAAGCGGGGGAUAACAUUUGGAAGCAGAUGCUAAUACCGCAUAACCACAGAAACCACAUGGUUUCUGUGUCAAAGAUGGUUUCGGCUAUCACUUUGGGAUGGACCCGCGGCGUAUUAGCUAGUUGGUAAGGUAAUGGCUUACCAAGGCAAUGAUACGUAGCCGAACUGAGAGGUUGAUCGGCCACAUUGGGACUGAGAAACGGCCCAAACUCCUACGGCAGGCAGCAGUAGGGAAUCUUCCACAAGGGACGAAAGUCUGAUGGAGCAACGCCGCGUGAGUGAAGAAGGUUUUCGGAUCGUAAAACUCUGUUGUCAGAGAAGAACGUGUGCGAGAGUAACUGCUCGUGCAGUGACGGUAUCUGGCCAGAAAGCCACGGCUAACUACGUGCCAGCAGCCGCAGUAA